Long non-coding RNA from Plutella xylostella (diamondback moth), 814 nucleotides. RefSeq lists it as uncharacterized. Lineage: Eukaryota; Metazoa; Arthropoda; Insecta; Lepidoptera; Plutellidae. The record is from RefSeq and is a predicted model, not a curated record.
AGAUAUCGAUGAUUUAUAAAAGGAUUCAGUUUAAUUUCUAUAUCAGUAGAUAUAAUAAGUGUAUUGAGACUGCAAGUGUUGUGAAAAUCUAUAAACAGAUUAAUUUUGAUUAAUUUUAUUACAAUGGCUGGCAAAACGUUUCUGCUGUUUACAUUCCUCCUAUCGGCCCUGCUGCUGGUCCACUCAGCACACUCCUGCAACUGUUCCCGGGAGCUGAAGCCGGUCUGUGCCCAGGGCAGGACCUUCAGCAACCCGUGCCUGCUGCAGUGUGAGAACGAGCAGAGAAUGAGUCGAGGACUGGCGCCGUACACCGUGACUUGUCGCGACGAGUGCGAGCAGUGUCAAUGAGGGUAGAGGUACAGCUGCUGAAGAUACACGGGUUCGUUAUCGACGUAGAUAAAUGUCACUUAUGACGAUACGAUAUAAACACGGUGCUGUUAUUGGUGGAACGCGAGUUAAACGAGUUUGUCGACGUCGAUAACGACCUGUGUAGCGGCCGCAGGGGUGGUCAGUUUUAUUUGUCCCGAGAUCAAUUAUUUAUUUAAAAAAUGAAAUAAAAUUCUUGUAAUCUUACAAUGUAAGCAAUGCAUUAUCUACCCUUUAGUCGUAAACGAUCUUUUUUUUUCGUGUCAUUAAUUUGUUAUAAAUUCCAUGUUGUUAUCUUAAUUUUUAUGGUUAUUUUUUAAUUUUAGCAUCUCUUCCAGUUUGAAAAAAAUAUUGAUAUACAUACUUAACAAGUUCAUGUUUUAUUGUGUCAACAGUUACAGGGAAAACAUUAUAUUAUUAUAUAUUUUAAAAUAAAGCAUAAAACUUU